RNAcentral lists this unclassified non-coding RNA (250 nucleotides) under plant metagenome. RNAcentral describes it as "partial contains small subunit ribosomal RNA, internal transcribed spacer 1, and 5.8S ribosomal RNA". The record is from RNAcentral.
GUAGGUGAACCUGCGGAAGGAUCAUUAUCGAGUUUUUUUGGUUAGCUCCGAAAACUCCCCACCCUUGUGUAUUUUCGCUGAAAAGCAGCUUCGGCGGGCCGUCAGACCUUAGCAAUAGGGUCCUGACAUCGGCUUUGUGCGGAUUUGCGUCCGCCGAAGAAACAACUCUUACAAUUUGAAGUCUGAUAAAAUAACAAAAAUAAAUCAAAACUUUCAACAACGUAUCUCUUGGUUCUGGCAUCGAUGAAGA